Helianthus annuus (common sunflower) is the source of this 402-nucleotide long non-coding RNA. RefSeq lists it as uncharacterized. The record is from RefSeq and is a predicted model, not a curated record. The transcript is spliced from 3 exons. Lineage: Eukaryota; Viridiplantae; Streptophyta; Magnoliopsida; Asterales; Asteraceae.
UCUCAAGCUCUCAUCUCUUUUCUCUAAGUAUACGACCAUACACAUGUACAACUAAACUUCCAUACAAAAAAUUGCUUCAAGAGUUUAAAGAAGGUCCAAGCAUCAGGAGGCGAUUGAAGCGAUUACAAGCCUUUUUCAUUCAUACGUUUUAGUGCCUUCCCUAGCUAGUCUAGUGGACAUGUUUGAGUCGAUGUAUCCAUUUUGGGCUUCGGUUGCUAGCACUUGCAUAUACGUGUUUCAGGUUGCAUUUUCAAAACUAUGGAACGGUUGGAAUAGGAGAACCCAUGGGAUUUCGGGUACUUAGCGGGCGUUCAUUGUUUAGAAGUCUUAGCUUAUUUGCUUCCGCUGUGCAAUGAAGAUACCGGUCCAGUCACGCUAGCUCUGAUAUUUCGGGGUGUGACA